AUUGAACGCUGGCGGCAUGCUUAACACAUGCAGGUCGAACGCGAAAAGUCACUUCGGUGGCGAGUAGAGUGGCGACGGGUGAGUAACGCGUAGGAAUCUGCCUUAUAUGGGGGACAACUCGGGGGAAACUCGAGCUAAUACCGCAUAAUAUCUACGGAUUAAAGUGGGGGCUCUUUAGGGACCUCAUGCUAUAAGAUGAGCCUGCGUCGGAUUAGCCUGUUGGUGGGGUAAAGGCCUACCAAGGCGACGAUCCGUAGCUGGUCUGAGAGGACGAUCAGCCACACUGGGACUGAGACACGGCCCAGACUCCUACGGGAGGCAGCAGUGGGGAAUAUUGGACAAUGGGCGAAAGCCUGAUCCAGCAAUGCCGCGUGUGUGAAGAAGGCCUUCGGGUUGUAAAGCACUUUCAGUAAGGAAGAAUGGCCUAAGGUUAAUACCCUUAGGAGGUGACAUUACUUACAGAAGAAGCACCGGCUAACUCUGUG
This 485-nucleotide ribosomal RNA is filed under the name uncultured bacterium. Its description in RNAcentral is "bacterial SSU rRNA". It matches the Rfam family "Bacterial small subunit ribosomal RNA", at positions 30 to 507 of the family's 1533-position model. The record is from RNAcentral.